RNAcentral lists this ribosomal RNA (460 nucleotides) under uncultured bacterium. RNAcentral describes it as "partial 16S ribosomal RNA". It matches the Rfam family "Bacterial small subunit ribosomal RNA", at positions 338 to 795 of the family's 1533-position model. The record is from RNAcentral.
CCUACGGGUGGCAGCAGUGAGGAAUAUUGGUCAAUGGACGGAAGUCUGAACCAGCCAUGCCGCGUGCAGGAAGAAGGCUCUAUGGGUUGUAAACUGCUUUUGUACGGGGAUAAAACUGUCCACGUGUGGAGAUCUGCAAGUACCGUACGAAUAAGGAUCGGCUAACUCCGUGCCAGCAGCCGCGGUAAUACGGAGGAUGCAAGCGUUAUCCGGAUUUAUUGGGGUUAAAGGGUGCGUAGGUGGUUAGUUAAGUUAGCGGUGAAAGUUGGGGGCUUAACCCGGGAACUGCCUUUGAAACUGGACGACUAGAGUGUAGAUGAGGUAGGCGGAAUGCGUGGUGUAGCGGUGAAAUGCAUAGAGAUCACGCAGAACCCCGAUUGCGAAGGCAGCUUACCAAGCUAUGACUGACGCUGAGGCACGAAAGUGUGGGGAGCAAACAGGAUUAGAUACCCCAGUAGUC